This 301-nucleotide ribosomal RNA is filed under the name uncultured bacterium. RNAcentral's name for it is "partial 16S ribosomal RNA". It matches the Rfam family "Archaeal small subunit ribosomal RNA", at positions 459 to 760 of the family's 1478-position model. The record is from RNAcentral.
CAGUCGCCGCGGUAACACCAGCACCUCGAGUGGUCAGGAGGUUUAUUGGGCCUAAAGCAUCCGUAGCCGGUUGCAUAAGUUUUCGGUUAAAUCUAUGCGCUUAACGUAUAGGCCGCCGAAAAUACUGUGCAGCUAGGGAGUGGGAGAGGUACACGGUACUCGAUAGGAAGGGGUAAAAUCCUUUGAUCUAUUGAUGACCACCUGUGGCGAAGGCGGUGUACCAGAACACGUUCGACGGUGAGGGAUGAAAGCUGGGGGAGCAAACCGGAUUAGAUACCCCUGUAGUCCCUGUCUCUUAUAC